RNAcentral lists this ribosomal RNA (427 nucleotides) under uncultured bacterium. Its description in RNAcentral is "partial 16S ribosomal RNA". It matches the Rfam family "Bacterial small subunit ribosomal RNA", at positions 355 to 774 of the family's 1533-position model. The record is from RNAcentral.
UGGGGAAUAUUGCACAAUGCGCGCAAGCCUGAUGCAGCCAUGCCGCGUGUAUGAAGACGGCCUUAGGGUUGUAAAGUACUUUCAGCGGGGAGGAAGGUGAUAAGGUUAAUACCCUUGUCAAUUGACGUUACCCGCAGAAGAAGCACCGGCUAACUCCGUGCCAGCAGCCGCGGUAAUACGGAGGGUGCAAGCGUUAAUCGGAAUUACUGGGCGUAAAGCGCACGCAGGCGGUCAAUUAAGUCAGAUGUGAAAGCCCCGAGCUUAACUUGGGAAUUGCAUCUGAAACUGGUUGGCUAGAGUCUUGUAGAGGGGGGUAGAAUUCCAUGUGUAGCGGUGAAAUGCGUAGAGAUGUGGAGGAAUACCGGUGGCGAAGGCGGCCCCCUGGACAAAGACUGACGCUCAGGUGCGAAAGCGUGGGGAGCAAACA